GGAGAGGUGGCGGAGUGGUCUAACGCGCCGGUCUUGAAAACCGGAGUGCCGCAAGGCACCGUGAGUUCGAAUCUCACCCUCUCCG
RNAcentral lists this transfer RNA (85 nucleotides) under Patescibacteria group bacterium. RNAcentral's name for it is "tRNA-Ser". It matches the Rfam family "tRNA". From Rfam's summary of the family: Transfer RNA (tRNA) molecules are approximately 80 nucleotides in length. Their secondary structure includes four short double-helical elements and three loops (D, anti-codon, and T loops). The record is from RNAcentral.